RNAcentral lists this long non-coding RNA (768 nucleotides) under Androctonus crassicauda. The record is from RNAcentral. Lineage: Eukaryota; Metazoa; Arthropoda; Arachnida; Scorpiones; Buthidae.
UUUUCAAAUGGUUUUAGAUUUCAUCGUCUUUUCUUCUGAUCCCUCCUGGGCCCAUAAUCUGUUAGAUUUUAAUAAGUAUUACUUGUACAUAACAGAGAAUAUUGAAUGUAGAUACAGUUUGAUGAGCCAGAAGAAAUUCGAUAGUAAGCGUUUCGCCUUGACAUAUUCUACAGGAAGAAAAAGGGAGACUCACAAAAAAGGGGUUACACAGUCUUAGAUCAAGGGCCGUGAAUGAGCACACUGAAAUCUGUCAACUUCAUUAGUGACAUCUUAACACUUAAAAAGUUUUUGCCAUAUUUAACUUUUGGAGCCCAUCUAUGUUUGUGGCAUCUCAAGUACCUGUGCCUAAGUAUAAUGUUGCUGUUCUAUUUUUGUUUUUUAAAGCAUGAUAUGACAUUGGUUCAGUCAUACCAAAUGGCUGAAUCAGUUUUAUGAUUGAAUUCUCCACCAAGCCUAUGUUUAGUGGAGGAUUGAAUUCAAUGAGCUGAGGCCAAAUUUCUUUUUGUAGAUAUGGGACUUGGAUCCUCUAGGGUGGAAAAACAGUCUACUUCACUGUGGCCUAAACAUUGCAAUAAAAUAUAUUAACUAGAAAUGUACAAACUAUUUGAAACUCAAAUAAAGUCAAGUUUCAAAAUAAAACUAAAAUUUUCAAGCCAAUUCAAAACUGUAGUUUAAUCCAUGUAAUCCAGCACUUCCUAAAAUUUGAUAGUUUAUAAUCUGCUUUUUUUUCUAAUUUUGUAUUUUAUAAUCCAAUACAUUAAAAUUGCU